AUCUAAAACUUGAAAAUAUAGAAUUUCAAAUCUAAAAUACAAAAAAAGAAGGAAUUUGGAAAGAAAGAAGAAAUAAAUUGAAUAAACAAUAAAAACAAUUAAAGUAGAAUAUGAUGAAGCAAAGCACUUUAUAAACUUAUAUGUAAAAAAAUCCAAAAAAUUAACUAAGUGUACAACACAAGUUCAUUUCCAAGGAGCUCAUAAAGCAAUUCUAUCUUUCAUAUAGUUGUCAAAGAUUUAAAAAGUCAAGUCAGCUCUCCACUAGUACUAAAUCAUAUCAUUGCUUGCAUUCACUUAAAAAAUCAUCUUUCAUCAACAUCUUAUUCCCACUUCAAUCACCUCUCUCAAAUCCAAUGGUUCAACCUUCCACCUCUCUUUUAUGCUUUUUAGUUUUGAACUUGGUCUCUAUAUUUUUAGUUUUUCCAUCUUAUUUCUAAUUGUUAUUGUCUACUACGUAGUUCUAUCCCUCUUCACCUCCACUCCCUUAAAUCAUAUUCACUACUUCAUCUUCCAAAAGCAAAUAAAUAAACACAUCCCAUCAUACACCUCUAAUAUAUUGGAUGCCUACCAUUCUACCAUCCAUCUCACUAUCCUCCACACUUCUCAUUCUCCAUCUGUCCUACAUCCUUACGAUGCACCACUACCACAUUCUUACUGAGUUGGAAGAACUUGCAAUACAGCCUAUGUAAGAACUAGUUUCUAAAAUCCUCCA
RNAcentral lists this long non-coding RNA (712 nucleotides) under Physcomitrium patens. RNAcentral describes it as "long non-coding RNA (PPAT_LNC004847)". Lineage: Eukaryota; Viridiplantae; Streptophyta; Bryopsida; Funariales; Funariaceae. The record is from RNAcentral.